Molecule: RNA transcript, 5566 nt
Organism: Harmonia axyridis
Lineage: Eukaryota; Metazoa; Arthropoda; Insecta; Coleoptera; Coccinellidae
Gene name: protein transport protein Sec16A
Exons: 23
Source: RefSeq, a predicted model, not a curated record
GACAACAGGAUUGGUGGGGUGUGACGUCUGACGUACACGUAGGAAAAGAAAAUACUUCCAUAUUUUCGGUAUUCAAAUUGAAAUUAUCUAAUUAUGUAAAAAGUUUAUAGAUUGUUAUAAAGAAAUGGAGGAAUAGAAACAAUAGCAAAGUCUCCAACUGCCUUUAAAACUUUUUAUUGUUCUUUCUGUUUUAUGGAUGUUGUGUGGUCUAAGUGUUAUCAGUGAUGUCGUGGUUAAGGAAAAGGGGACAAAGCACUACCCCAAGCCCUGGUUACACGGGGCCGCCAUCAGAACCAGUCCCUAUGUACAAUCCAAAUCAAGUGUUUUCCACAGAAAAUGUCACACCUUUUUAUCCGUACACUGAAAAUAGAGAAAUAGUCAGGAACAGUAGUCCCAGUUUGGCCCAGGUACAACAAAUGCAAUACAUUCCAACUCAAACAUAUGCGCCUCAAGCAACUACUCCUUUGAUACCUCAAGAAGAUAUAACGAACCCGUUUAAGAGAGCAUCUGCACAGAUGCAAAAUACUAACAACACCAUGCCAUCAAAUCAGUUCGUGCAGAAUGCUAACCCUACAAAUGAUUACUCUUCUCGUCAGCAUGCUUUCUCACAGCAUUUUAGUCAGUCGGUCAAUUUAGAAACACCGCCUGAAAACUCGGAACAACCGGAUUACAUGUCUAAUUCGGCUGCUGAAAAACCUUUUGCAAUGCAGCCGACUCUACCUCCGGCGCCCAAGGCCCCCAUGCAGCAGCCCUGGGUUGGCAACAGCGAAACUAUCAUGACCGAGAGGAAUCAAUACUUGGAGACCGGUCACCUGAGCGGCAUAGCCGAAGCUCCGCCUCCACAGGUGCGGAUGGACUACAUGACCGACUACCUAAUGGACGAGAUACUCGACAGGCCACGCCUAGAGGUGGUGGGGAGGCGUGCCUUGGACCAGAUGGAACGGAACGUGGAGAAUUGCAACGACGAGCCUCCGCCGGGUCUCAGCCGGAUGGUUUUGGGACAGAACGAGCAAAACGAGAACGGUUCGGAGGACGCUUCGAACCCUGGCUUCGACGGGAACGGCGCUAACAGCUCCUUCGAGCCGAUCAACUUCCCGUACGGUCUUCGCAGGAUGGUGCCGGGCGAAUCUAGCUCUCCGGAGAACUCGACCAGGCAGUCGACUUUCCAAUCCCAAGAUAUCAAUGUCCCAGACUCCGAUCCCGAGUUCGGCGGAGUGCCUCAGCUUAGAUCGGCUACCAUCGGCGCAGACACGCCCCCCACAACCUCUGCGCCACUGAACCAAGUAACUCUCCCCAGUGUUGGCGCCUCUGAUCGGUCCGAAACCAUCGGUGCGGCCGACGAAGGGGAAAUGCCCAGAGGAUCAAGUAUUUCACCUACUAACGGUGGGAAAAAAACAAGCAGGAAGGCUAAGGAACAAACAAACGAUUAUGUGGAAGUAGGACAACAUACUGAGUCGGAAAUCGGUUCUCUUGUAGCCAGUGUGCGUAACCUCACUGUAGGAGAGAAUUCGUCAGACGAAACGAACGAAGUCAGUGUCAAAGCCGAGCCUAGAAAGAAGGUCAGUCGACCGGAAUCUUCAGAAAGUGAGACUGAGAAAAGGGCCAAGACUCCGCCUAGAGAUAGGAAGGACAGGAGGUACAAGGGGGAGAGGAGAGAUGAUAGGAGAGAAAGGGAUAAUUAUUCGCCUGAGUCUAGAGCAAGACGUUAUGAAAGAAGGAAGUACAGAGAUAGAAAUCAUGACGAUAGUGGAGAUUAUUACAGCGAUGGCGAACGUGAUAAAACAAAACAAGAUAGGGAUUACGAUAAAAAAUAUUAUAGCUUGAGGAAGGACAAGGAGAGAGAUAGGAGACGGAAAGAAAGCCCUAGGGAGUAUGAACGAGAUGGCAGGAGAAAAAGAGAUGAAUAUUAUCAUAGAUACGAGGAUUCUUAUGAUAACGAAGAAAGGUCUAGCCGGCCUUCCAGUAGAUCUGAUUCUAUGCACGACUCCAUGUACAGGGGCAGUAGGAGGUCCGAAAAGGACUCCAGAGAUCGAAGGAGAGAUAGGCCAGCUGCUAGAGAUAGAGAGAGGGAUAAGCACAGGAGACCCAGGGAUCCCUAUAAUCCCUACAACAUGCCUGGUUACGGUGGCUACGACCCCUACAACCCAUACUACCAACAGUACCAAUACCAGUACUACGAAAAUCUGCGCAGGACCAAUCCGCAGGCUUACGCUGAGAUAUACAGGAAAUAUUACGAGCAACACGCUGCCAGGCAUCCCCCUGGUUACGCCCCAGAAGACAGGUCUUCGGUACAUUCUGGUAGGAGUUCUGUUAACGGUGAUAUGGCCAAAGACAGGUUUACCAGGCAGAGCUAUUAUAGUCAUGCGUCAAGUGUGCCAUACAUGGCAGAUUACUACGCCAGAGAUUCCCAAACAAAUAGUAUAUCAGGUCAUUACGACCUGGAUGAAUCUAGCUACUCUAGACAGAAGGACACCACCGACUCCUUCAUUCUGGAGGACUCUUCGGUGAAGGCCGGAAGGACCACGCCCGCCAAGUUCCCCACGGCCCACACCAAGGUGUCCAUUGCUUGCGGCCGGGUGGUCAAGGUACUUCCCAACUACCCGCAGGAUGGCCAACCGGCUCUGGUGGAGUUGGCCGGCCUGGGGACGUAUCUGCAGAACGACGACGAGUACAAGGAGCUGUCGCAGUACCCGGGGCCUCUGGUCAAGGGGGUGACGCACAAGAAGACUGUCAUUGAAUACUGCGAGAACAAGAUCAAGAACGUGGGCUCCAACUCGGACGUGUGCGGAGAUCCUGAUUCCUACGUGUUGAUGUGGGAGUUUUUGAUAUUGCUGUUGAGGCAGAAUGGGAAAGUAGUCGGUACUGACAUAGCGGAACUACUACUGAAGAACAGGACUGAAAAUCUGCCUGUACGACCAGCUUCCGUACUAUCCAAUAUCAGCAGUACUACCGGAGAUGUACAAGCAGUGUCCGAGACUAGCCUGCCUCAAGUAUCGGAAGGCGUCAACUUUGGCUCGAUGUCAUUGCUUAAGGAGGAAGAAGUCACGAAUAAAUUCAGGGAGUACUUGCUCUAUGGUUCGGAGCAAGAGGCUUUAGAAUGGGCGAUGAAGCACGGUCUAUGGGGACACGCCCUCUUCCUGGCCAGUAAACUGGGCAAGAGGACCCAUUCAAACGUGAUGAUCAGAUUUGCUAAUGGGUUGACGAUGAACGAUCCUCUUCAAACACUCUAUCAGCUGUUGUCUGGAAGGAUCCCGUCUGCUGUUAGCGGCGUGGCCGAGGAGAAAUGGGGCGAUUGGAAGCCACACCUGGCGAUGAUGCUGUCCAACUCAUCUCUCCAGCCCGAGCUUAACCGCAAGGCGAUCACGGCCAUGGGCGACACCCUGAUGGCCAGGGGCAGCCUGUGCGCCGCCCAGUUCUGCUACCUGAUGGCAGAGACCGGCUUCGGUCGCUACGGCGCCGACAACGUCAAGAUGGUGCUUCUCGGCUCGAACCACAACAAGCCCUUCCCCCAGUUCGCCACCAACGAGGCGGUGCACAUGACGGAGAUUUACGAGUAUGCGUGCAGCCUCAACGAUCAGGACUUCAUGCUGCCUGAGCUACAGGUUUACAAAUACCUUCUGGCGACGAGGUUGGCCAGUUUUGGACUUCUGCAGAAGUCCCUAGCCUUCCUGGAGAGGAUAGCCCUGUACAUAACGAAUAAUCCCUCUAACGUGCAAUCUAGUCUAGUGAACAACGUGUGCAAUUUGGCGGACAGGCUGAAGUAUUACGAUCUUGUCAGCGUUGAUGAUGAAGAGGAGAGCGCAGAGCAUAUGGCCGAUAACAGGUUGGACAAUACCUGGUUGAAGACGCUGAAGACGUUACAGGACAACAUCAAUUCGGGACUGAUGACGUACAACGCAAACGACAUGACGUUGACAGAUACGAUUCAGUCUGGUACAUACGGCAGCACUCUAGAUCCUGCCCGUCAGAAUGCCUGGGAUCAGCCGCAGUUAUAUCCACAGCAGUAUCAGGGUGAGGUUGGCCAGUCACCAUGGCAAUCUGACCAGCAGGCUCAGCUUGAUCCCUCUAUGGAUGGUUACGGGCAAGUUGAUCACCAGCAACUAGAAGGUUUCACUUCCUACCAAGACCAACAGUCUUACUGGUCUAACCAGCAACAGCAACAAUGGGAUGCAGGUACCAACCAGCAGAGUAACGAGAGUUUGAGCCGAGAUCAGUCGAACUAUUACGGCUCUGCGAAUACUCAGAGUGAGUCCGGAAAGGCGCAAAAUAACUCGACAGAAGAGGAGGUCAGGCCUCAGAUUUCCAUGCCGGGCCAAUCCAAGGGCAGGUCGAUAUUCGACGAGGACGAGCCUCUGCCGCACGAGAAGGCCCAGAACGACAAGCGACAGCAGCAGGCCAAGGCGGAGCCGGCCAAGCCGAAGGAGAGCUCCGGUUGGUUCGGAGGCAUCUUCAGCAAGCUGGCGCCGAAACCCAAGAACCAGAUGAAGCUGCCGGACGACAAGAAUCCGACGAUCGUGUGGGACGAAGACAAGAAGAGAUGGGUCAACGUCGACGAAGACAACAAUAAUCCGUCAACGAACGAACUCAAGCCACCACCGAAGAUGUCCGAUAUCAUGACUCCAUCGCCCAAACCUCAAAUACCUCAAGCGAACCACAACACCACCAACAAUAACAGCAACAACAACGCGAUGCCUCAAGGUUACACCAAUCCCAUGUCCUACAGUCAAAACAACAACAGCAUGAACGUCCCCCAACAGCCUCUACCGGCCAACAACAAUAACCAGCAGCCGCAGAUGGUGGGAGCUCCCAAUCAAGAUGGCCUAUCUCAACAGUCCAACAUCUUCAAGCUGCAGAAGAGUAGAAAUUUGAAAAAGUCCUACAUCGACGUCUUCAACCCAGGCGGCGUUGCAACGAAGCCGGCAGUUCCAGCGCCCCAAAUGCCAGGGUUUCCAGUGGCCAACAACAACGCACCUCAGAUGAAUUUCUUCAUUCCACAACCGGUGACCGACCCGAACGCACCAACGAACUUUCUGACUCAAGGCAACCCGGUCAUCCAGCCACAGUACGAUGAAUCUGCGCAGUUGUCUAGAUGGAGCUCGGCUAGUUCGCUAUCAAGGGAGGUUCAGUACUAUAUGCGGCAAAAGCCGCAGUUACGUCGACCUGCGCAUCGGUAGCUUAGAUGCACGUCCCCGCUUCUUUUUACCCCCUCCAUCACACACACACGUUAUGGCUUGUUGCACGCCCUCUAUACAUCGCAUUCGGUUAUGGGACGUCGCUGAAGAAUCUGGCAUCAGAAAAAUAUGGUGGUGAAUAGGAAUAGGGUUCAUGCCUGUCGUAAGCACUCUGUACAGAACUGGGUAUCUAGGUAAUCUUUCAAUUUUAAAAUGUAAUGGCUAAGCAAUUGUUCUGUUGAGAUUGUUAUGUUUAUUUUUCAAAGUUCUAUGGAUCCUGUGAUCAUGUACCUACUUUUUGAAUAAUGGUAGUUUUUAAACAUUUCAUUAUACAUAUUAAAGACAAUAUUAGAACGAUUCUAUAUUAAGGGAAUAAAAGAAUUACACGUCUUCAA